GACAAAAUCAUAUCUAUUGACUGGCAGAAAGGGAGAAAAUUCCACAGGAAGGGUUGGAAUAGAAUGGACGAGAGAGAGGAGAAAAGCUCUUUCGUAAACGGUUGAGUUCCAGCCGAAGGCUAAGGAGGAUCUAAUGACAGCUGCGAUCUGGAAUGGCUGCUGUUUCCGAGCCUGAUUAAUGACAGAGCUGCUUCAUUGUUCAGUCCGAGCUGAUUUUCAUUCCACAGAAGGGGAAAGCAAAUGCCCCCACGCCCAGAAAAAAUAAAAAUUACACUUCAUGGAACAAAACGGAAACACAAACUCAUCUGGAUGUUGACUUGUCUAUAUGCAACAGCAAUCACUUCCUCCUCUCCCCGCUGCCUUCCUAAAGAACAGCAGGAUUGGGAAAGGAGACGGGAAUCUUGAGACCGCGGGCCUUUCCUGGAGCCGGCCUUGGCUGAUCAGGACACACCCCCGCUAGCGCACUUGCUCCCUCCGUCUACUGCGCGCAAAACCCGAUGGAAAUAACAGGGAGCCUGGAAUAAAGCUGACCCUUUCCCGUAUCAGAGAGAAAGGCCAGGUAC
RNAcentral lists this non-coding RNA (563 nucleotides) under Pan troglodytes (chimpanzee). Lineage: Eukaryota; Metazoa; Chordata; Mammalia; Primates; Hominidae. The record is from RNAcentral.